ACCGAAGCUGCGGCAGCGACGCUUAUGCGUUGUUGGGUAGGGGAGCGUUCUGUAAGCCUGUGAAGGUGGCCUGUGAGGGUUGCUGGAGGUAUCAGAAGUGCGAAUGCUGACAUAAGUAACGAUAAAGCGGGUGAAAAGCCCGCUCGCCGGAAGACCAAGGGUUCCUGUCCAACGUUAAUCGGGGCAGGGUGAGUCGACCCCUAAGGCGAGGCCGAAAGGCGUAGUCGAUGGGAAACGGGUUAAUAUUCCCGUACUUGGUGUUACUGCGAAGGGGGGACGGAGAAGGCUAUGUUGGCCGGGCGACGGUUGUCCCGGUUUAAGCGUGUAGGCUGGUUUUCCAGGCAAAUCCGGAAAAUCAAGGCU
Molecule: ribosomal RNA, 363 nt
Filed under: Salmonella enterica subsp. enterica serovar Albany
Lineage: Bacteria; Pseudomonadati; Pseudomonadota; Gammaproteobacteria; Enterobacterales; Enterobacteriaceae
Description: bacterial LSU rRNA
Rfam family: Bacterial large subunit ribosomal RNA
Source: RNAcentral